RNAcentral lists this unclassified non-coding RNA (233 nucleotides) under Cryptococcus sp. (in: basidiomycete fungi). RNAcentral describes it as "Cryptococcus sp. (in: Fungi) partial contains 5.8S ribosomal RNA, internal transcribed spacer 2, and large subunit ribosomal RNA". The stretch from base 1 to 50 matches the Rfam family "5.8S ribosomal RNA", at positions 105 to 154 of the family's 154-position model. Lineage: Eukaryota; Fungi; Basidiomycota; Tremellomycetes; Tremellales; Cryptococcaceae. The record is from RNAcentral.
CGCAACUUGCGCCCUCUGGUAUUCCGGAGGGCAUGCCUGUUUGAGUGUCAUGUAGACUCAUCUACUCAGACUUUUCUGUCUGAGCGAGAUGGAUUUGGAGGUUUUGCCUUUGUCUGGCUCCUCUCAAAAGCAUUGUGCAGACGUGAUAAGUUUCGUCGUACGCACACGCCGCCCCUCGGGGCAACUACUUGUACUCUGACCUCAAAUCAGGUAGGGCUACCCGCUGAACUUAA